AACAGCCGCGGUAAUUCCAGCUCCAAUAGCGUAUAUUAAAGUUGUUGCAGUUAAAAAGCUCGUAGUUGAAUUUCGGGGUCAGUAGUUUGGUCGUGCCAAUGGUAUGUACUGGGCUCACUGAUUCCUCCUUCCUGAUGAACUGUAAUGCCAUUAAUUUGGUGUUGCAGGGAAACUGGACUGUUACUUUGAAAAAAAUUAGAGUGUUUAAAGCAAGCUAACGCUUGAAUACAUUAGCAUGGAAUAAUGAAAUAGGACGUUCGAUCCUAUUUCGUUGGUUUCUAGGAUUGACGUAAUGAUUAAUAGGGAUAGUUGGGGGCAUUAGUAUUCAAUUGUCAGAGGUGAAAUUCUUGGAUUUAUUGAAGACUAACUACUGCGAAAGCAUUUGCCAAGGAUGUUUUCAUUAAUCAAGAACGAAAGUUAGGGGAUCGAAGACGAUCAGAUACCGUCGUAGUCUUAACCAUAAACUAUGCCGACUAGGGAUCGGAUGAUGUUAAUUUUUAAUGACUCAUUCGGCGCCUUA
Molecule: ribosomal RNA, 520 nt
Filed under: uncultured Glomus
Lineage: Eukaryota; Fungi; Glomeromycota; Glomeromycetes; Glomerales; Glomeraceae
Description: SSU rRNA
Rfam family: Eukaryotic small subunit ribosomal RNA
Source: RNAcentral